GCCUAGGUGUUCAUAGCCGAGUGGACCCACGCUGAUCCAUAUCGAACUCAGUAGUGAAACGCUCGCGCGGCGAGGAUACUUAAGGGGUAGCCCUUAGGGAAAGCAGCUCAAUGCCUGGGUUCUAAAGUUUAAUUUUUUCU
RNAcentral lists this ribosomal RNA (140 nucleotides) under Trachydiscus minutus. Lineage: Eukaryota; Eustigmatophyceae; Goniochloridales; Goniochloridaceae. The record is from RNAcentral.